RNAcentral lists this unclassified non-coding RNA (185 nucleotides) under uncultured Russula. RNAcentral's name for it is "sequence contains ITS1". The record is from RNAcentral. Lineage: Eukaryota; Fungi; Basidiomycota; Agaricomycetes; Russulales; Russulaceae.
UCGUACAAUCGAGGUGCAAGGGCUGUCGCUGACUUUUCGUCGUGCACGCCCGAGCGCUCUCACACAAUCCAUCUCACCCCUAUGUGCACCACCGCGUGGGUCUCUCUUUGAAGGGGGGCUCGCGUUUUCACACAAACUUGAAGUAGUGUAGAAUGUCUUUUUUUUGCGAUGACACGCAAUCAAUA